AUCUUCUCGCUCGCAAACCCUUUCUUCUCUAAAUGGAAUCUGUCCAUUUCUUCUCACAUUCUCACCGGUGAAUGCAUUCCAAUCUUCUCACGCCGUCGCCAUCACCGUCGCCGUUCUCACGCCGUCGCCAUCACCGUGGACGUCUUCGAAUCUUCUCACAUUUUUGGAUUUGCUCGCGUGAGCUUCCCCCCAAAUUCCCCUUUUCAUUUUCUUAACUUUCGGUGAGAUCUCUCCAAUCCUCUCUUGGAUUUCAUUUUCUCUUCAUUCUAUCAAUUUCAAAUACCAAACACUCUAUUCUCCAUACUAUUCUCUCAUUUUUCUUCUACAGUUCUAAAGAUAGGACAGAGGAAGAUGAUGAGGAGGAUGAUCGAGAGAUUGAUUCACAUGAAGAGAGUUGGAUGUCAACUAUUUUUUUAUAGAGGAUUGGAGUAUAGUUCGCCAACACUUGCUUCCGCCAUAAGUAAUCUAAUUCCAGCUCUUACUUUCAUCUUGGCUGUUCUUUUCGGCUUCGGAGGUUAGGGUUAUGGAACCAGCUUGAAGUAGAGUUGGUGUUGAAGGUGAUGGGAUGCGAUUUGUGAGUAGUGAUUUACGGAAAAUGAUGUCUCUACGGCUUGGUUCCCUUCAACUUCUCUCAAAUCCAAACACCAACCUUCACAAUAUGAAGAUCUUCCACAUCAAUCCACUGAUGCUGACAUUUUCGUCACCGACAACAAAAUAGUUCCAUCUCAUCCCGCUAGUUACUACGUAGCGGCUGUUGGCGGUGGUGAAGAAGUGCUGGUGGUUAACACUACAUUUUGAUUUGGUGAUUUUGAGUAACUAUGUAGAGUUCUUGUACCAGGCAAGUUCUUCUACCCUUGUUUUAAUUUCUUUAUUAUGCUAUCGAUUGUUUAGGC
This is a long non-coding RNA of Cucumis melo (muskmelon), 893 nucleotides long. RefSeq lists it as uncharacterized. Lineage: Eukaryota; Viridiplantae; Streptophyta; Magnoliopsida; Cucurbitales; Cucurbitaceae. The transcript has 4 exons. The record is from RefSeq and is a predicted model, not a curated record.